Molecule: unclassified non-coding RNA, 228 nt
Filed under: plant metagenome
Description: partial contains 5.8S ribosomal RNA, internal transcribed spacer 2, and large subunit ribosomal RNA
Source: RNAcentral
GUCACCCAGCAGGAGGGCGACGAGGCCGUCUACCCCUCCGACGGGCGCGGGCUCUCCCGCGGGGAGCUCUUCGAGCGGGACGAGCAGCUGCGCGUCGCGUUCGAGGAAUUGCCGGAACAGUAGCGGAGUUCACUUAAAAGCGGGGCCCGUUGCGGUGUGAUCCAGGCCGAUGUAAGCCACCGAAAGGGUGAGAACAGUGGCGCAGCAGGUGAACGAGACGAUCGAGGU